GGUAAGUCUUGGGUGGCACACCCAGGAAUCAGGCUCCCUCCUCUCUGGUUCCAGAUGCAUCACCCAAGAACUGCA
Molecule: non-coding RNA, 75 nt
Organism: Myotis davidii
Lineage: Eukaryota; Metazoa; Chordata; Mammalia; Chiroptera; Vespertilionidae
Source: Rfam